Molecule: long non-coding RNA, 1411 nt
Filed under: Daphnia pulicaria
Lineage: Eukaryota; Metazoa; Arthropoda; Branchiopoda; Diplostraca; Daphniidae
Description: uncharacterized LOC124329243
Source: RNAcentral
GCCAUCUAGCGAUAGGAUGGCCAUCUCUAUCGGUCGUGGUUGUUGCCUUUGUUGCUCUGUCAAAUCUGUUGCCAUGGUGGUUUCAGAAGAUCUUUUCCCACAAGAACUUGCCUCGUGUGGUCCUAAAAGUCAUUACUGAUUUAUUUUUUAUUUUUCCAAACAAGAAUGUCUUGCAACGACGUAGAUGAAUACACAAUGUACCUUCAGUUGUACAAAUGGUACAAACAGGAUUGUGUUGAGAUGGGAAAGGUUCCCAAAGAAUUAAUAUCGUUUCUCGGACAGUUAAAAGCAAAAGCUCGUGGCCCUGGUGACGAUAGUCAGUUGAAGGGAAACUUAACUGAAUCGCAAGAAAGUAAACCAUCUUUGGUCUCAGUCUUGGAACCUCCUUGUCCUUCACCGAUGACAACCAAAUUUGAUAAUGUUGCUGCACAUUUUACAACCAGCUCAUCCUUUGGUCAUUCAGCAUUGAAUCCAAAAUCUGCUAACAGAGCCACAAAUUGUCCAGCCUUAGAUGGCAUCAAACGAAAGCUGAGAACCAUUGAAGGGAAAAGUGUUCCUACAGUUAAGAAAAGAUGCAUAAACACAUCCACAUUUACAUUACAUGUAUUUGUGUUCCCACACUUCGGCUGGUUAGGAAGUACAGCCACUACAGGAGAAAAGGCAGACUUUUGUGACAUGUUUUACAGAGCUGGGCUCUGGAGAUAAGGGAGCUGGAAACAUCAUUCCUGGCGGUGCCACACUGCUUUUUGAUGUCGAGUUGAUGGGCAUCAACCAGGCCCCACCUCCCCAGAAUGUUUUCAAACAGAUUGACAGUGAUUCCAACAACCAGUUGUCGAAAGAAGAGGUGGCAGAUUACAUAAAAAAGCACAUUUUCCCAACUGAGAAAGCUGAAGAGGUCCCUGCUGAAGAAGGAGCACCGCAGCAGCAAGAUCCUCUCAAGAUUACUGAAGAGAUCUUCCAGCACGAAGAUCACGACCGAGAUGGCUACAUCUCGUUCGAAGAAUUCUACGGACCGCACGAUGAACUCCAAGUCUUCCAUUCUCGCGAUCCAGUUUAAAUCUCAGAAUUAGCUCUCUCAACCGGCCAUAACAAAAUGCAAUUCCAUAUUGUUCUCUUUGUUGUUAUGUCUAAACCUCACUACCUGUUUCUGUACUCGUGUUAUUCGCCCACAUGAAUUAAAUGUGUUGUUCAACCUCGAGUUGAAAAACUCAAGAAACUAUCAAGAAAAUCGAUUAAUUAUCUUGUAAACUAUAAAACAUUUUUACAAAUAUUCCAUGUAAAUCUUUGUUUUAUCCUAAAUUACUCUUCUUUACUUAAGAUUCGGUUAAUCAGUGCUAUAUACUCGUUUGCCAGUUGUUUAUUAUGUUUUUAUUUGUCGGAUUGAAUUCAGAAAAUAUAGGCGUUGAUCAUU